AUACCACUCUUAUAAAGCUAGAAUUCUAACCUUAUACCGUUAGCCGGCUAAGGAACAGUCUCUGGUGGGCAGUUUGACUGGGGCGGUCGCCUCCUAAAAGGUAACGGAGGCGCACAAAGGUUUCCUCAGAUCGGUCAGAAAUCGAUCGUAGAGCGUAAAGGCAUAAGGAAGCUUGACUGCGAGACCUACAAGUCGAGCAGAGACGAAAGUCGGUCUUAGUGAUCUGACGGUUCCGAGUGGAAGGGCCGUCACUCAACGGAUAAAAGUUACUCUAGGGAUAACA
RNAcentral lists this ribosomal RNA (283 nucleotides) under uncultured eukaryote. RNAcentral describes it as "partial large subunit ribosomal RNA". It matches the Rfam family "Bacterial large subunit ribosomal RNA", at positions 2197 to 2479 of the family's 2925-position model. The record is from RNAcentral.